GAGAUAAGAGAAGCUACAUGAUUUAGCUUUGUAUAGAGACUUGUACAUUUUGUGUAUACUCAGUGUAUAUUUUUGGUAUAUCCAUAGUAUACCUUGUAAUUGGGUUGUCAUUGGGCUAUGAUGAUUUGUGUAUCUUAGCCCACAUGUCAUUAUUUAAUUUUGGGCCGGAUCACCCGACCCGACCCGACCCGUCCGUGUGUAAUAUGUAUAUAUUGUAGGUGAGAUAUUUUCUAACCUACCGGCUUUCAUUUCCUCUCAUUUUUCUCUGUAAUAAUAUUUCUCUCAUUUCCAGAGAGUUCCAAACGCUCUGUCUUCUCUCUAAUUUCUCUCUCUACAGUUUCUAUGAUUUCUCGGUCUAAUAUCAAUGUUCACAUGGUAUCAGAGCCUAUACGACGAUCCGAUUAUGUUUCUCUACAUCUCGUUGUCUUGGUUGAUCUCUUUUUGAGAAUUUUUUUGGGGAUUUUUCUGAGACCUUAUGGUCGAUCAUGGUUCUGACCUAGAUCGGAUGCUUUUUCGAGUUUUUCGUCAUGAUAUUUGAGUAUAUUUUCUUCACCCGAACAUUCUAAGAGUUUUUCUACUGAUUUUGGGUGGUUUCUCGGUGACCUAUCGGCUUCUAGGGUUUCUGGUGGUUUAACCUAGGGUUCUACUGCUUUUCGGUGUCUCGAUUCUCACUCAGCGGUUGUUUUGGGUGCCUCUCCGACGUUCCUAACCACAUUUCCAGUUAGGAUUUCCAAGGUUACACCUAGGGUUUUAUACCUAGGGUUUUCUCUGUUGUUUGAAGGCCGAUCUUCUCCGGUCGCGAAGAAGGGUAGUAACUCUGUCCUUAUCUUCGGUAUUGUAUGCGAUUAUCUGGUGUUGUGUGUUAAUACCUGAUUUGGUUAUACUCUGUUUGUUAGUUGUUGUGUGUGAAUACCUGAUUUGGUUAUACUCUGUUUGAUGAAAAUUGUUCUUUUAAGCCGGUUCAUUGACUAUGGCUUCUAACACAAAUACUGGUGCCUCC
This 1000-nucleotide long non-coding RNA is filed under the name Nicotiana benthamiana. Its description in RNAcentral is "long non-coding RNA (NBEN_LNC009509)". The record is from RNAcentral. Lineage: Eukaryota; Viridiplantae; Streptophyta; Magnoliopsida; Solanales; Solanaceae.